GACGAACGCUGGCGGCGCGCCUAACACAUGCAAGUCGAACGGAGUCAAGAGGAGCUUGCUUUUCUUGACUUAGUGGCGAACGGGUGAGUAACGCGUGAGUAACCUGCCCUGGAGUGGGGGACAACAGUUGGAAACGACUGCUAAUACCGCAUAAGCCCACGGAUCUGCAUGGAUCUGCGGGAAAAGGAUUUAUUCGCUCUAGGAUGGACUCGCGUCCAAUUAGCUAGUUGGUGAGGUAACGGCCCACCAAGGCGACGAUUGGUAGCCGGACUGGGAGGUUGAAAGGCCACAUUGGGACUGAGACACGGCCCAGACUCCUACGGGAGGCAGCAGUGGGGGAUAUUGCACAAUGGGGGAAACCCUGAUGCAGCGACGCCGGGUGGAGGAAGAAGGUUUUCGGAUUGUAAACUCCUGUCGUUAGGGACGAUAAUGACGGUACCUAACAAGAAAGCACCGGCUAACUACGUG
RNAcentral lists this ribosomal RNA (468 nucleotides) under uncultured bacterium. Its description in RNAcentral is "partial 16S ribosomal RNA". It matches the Rfam family "Bacterial small subunit ribosomal RNA", at positions 28 to 507 of the family's 1533-position model. The record is from RNAcentral.